Long non-coding RNA from Pseudopipra pipra, 551 nucleotides. RefSeq lists it as uncharacterized. The record is from RefSeq and is a predicted model, not a curated record. The transcript is spliced from 3 exons. NCBI's taxonomy places the organism in Eukaryota, Metazoa, Chordata, Aves, Passeriformes, Pipridae.
GAAGCCGUUCACGGUCAUGCCUUGCAGGAAGGAGGCCACGCAGAGGAAGAACAAGACGCCCUUGGACGUGUUGCAGAGCUGUCUUGAAGGCACUGGAACAAGAGGAUUUGGCAGAAGGUGAUGCUCAGAACAGCACCAAGGUCCUGUUCCCACCCCAGAAGGGCAGAUCACAUGUGCUACCAAAUAUUAAACAUUCAGGACAGUAAUGCUACAACAGGUCUGGUCCUUAAGGUAAGUUAAACAAAUGAGAUCCACCUUUCAUUUGCAAAAUUUUAUUUUAAUUACCCAGUCUGAGGAGCAGAGUGCAUGGACUAUUUCAGGGUUCAGAUUUCAGCAUGAAUUUGAUGCAGAGCAGGUGAGCCUGGCAGAAAGGAAGGCAUGGCUUUGCAGCUCCACGCUGGACUCCUCCAGCUGGUUCCAGAGUGCCAACAUUACUGAGUCAACGCAGCACAAGUAGCAAGGCAAUGAAAGCAUAUGAUUUGUAUUUCCUGAUGAAAUCUGUAAAGCCUCCCCCCUAAUAUUUAGCAUUAAAUCAAUAGUAAAAUUUACAA